Long non-coding RNA from Malurus melanocephalus (red-backed fairy wren), 1171 nucleotides. RefSeq lists it as uncharacterized. The record is from RefSeq and is a predicted model, not a curated record. The transcript has 3 exons. Lineage: Eukaryota; Metazoa; Chordata; Aves; Passeriformes; Maluridae.
UUCAGUUYUUAGGUGCCUUAAACACCCUCAGGUGGGUUUCAGCUCACAGAGCUUUAGGUGUCUGCAGAAAGGAUGUCUCAGUUCCUGGAGACCCAGUCUGACCAGCCUGUGGAGCCCAGAGAUUGAUUAAUCUCAUCCCAAAAAGGACUGAUAUUUGAUCAGAUGAGUGGUGACCUACACCCAUUGCCUGAGAACUAUUUUGUUUUUUAAAACAGUGACCGAAACAUGGAGCUCAAAUAUAGAAGGUGAAGUUGUAGUCACCAGAAAUCAAGASAGCUGUAUCCUACUUUCAGCCUGAGACAAAGGUUAAGAAAAGAAAUGUAAUGAUUUACAUUCUCAYUGGUUUCCAUGGGCCUUGAGAAAGGACAUUAAGCACAGGAAAUAAAGAACCUGUGAACCAAGCUGAUAAAAGAAGAAUUGACCCAAACUACUCAAUGUCAAUCUAAUGAGAUCAAAAGACAUCAGAGAAGAAGAAUGGAUAAAAGAAUGGUCCCUUUUUUCCUCUCAUUUCUGAAGGGAAAUUAAAUAAGAGCCAUAGCUCUACAUUAUGGCUUUCCUUUCUGCUUAGCUUUAAUUUUAGUCAUCUUUUGCUGGUUCCUGUUGUACUCAGUUCCUGAACUCUCAAUACAAUAAAUGUUAUUGUUCAUGGGGAUAAUGAGUUACMUAAAUGUCAAGUCAUCAACAAUCAGCUGGCCAAUUGCCUGAAGCCUUUUCUGUUUUCUUCAUKGGACAUAAGUACAAGUACUUAUUCAUACAAACAAGUCUUACACACCUAAGAAGACCUAUUGACUGUAGUGGUGAAUUGAAGGUGGAAAAAGUAAGGGUUGUGCAACAUCCUCCUAGGAAAGAAGUUCCAUUUGUCACAAAUCUUUACCUGAUGGCAUUAAUUUACUUGCUUUUGGCAACAUAUACACCCCAUACAAUUUUUAAUUUUGAAAAAAGCAGACAGAAGAGAUCAAAUUCAGAAGUAGCAAAUUGUUUUGCAAGUAAUUCCAAAAGCAAGGGAUAAUGUGUUUGGGGCWAAGAUAGGGGUUCUUGAAAUGUUUAGUAAAAAUAUAAAAUUGKAUCUGUCUCAUGCUAUUAGAAUCUCAUUGAGUUUUGAUUUAGCUGAAAGAAUAUACUAGUGCAGAGAAAUUGUUAUCCUAYCUGAUAUACAAAACCCUUAAGUUCA